RNAcentral lists this ribosomal RNA (405 nucleotides) under uncultured bacterium. RNAcentral describes it as "partial 16S ribosomal RNA". It matches the Rfam family "Bacterial small subunit ribosomal RNA", at positions 28 to 526 of the family's 1533-position model. The record is from RNAcentral.
GAUGAACGCUGGCGGCGUGCCUAAUACAUGCAAGUCGAGCGAAGCGGGGACGGGUGAGUAACACGUGGAUAACCUCCUAUAAGACUGGGAUAACUUCUGGAAACCGGAGCUAAACCGGAUACUUAGAGAUGGAUCUGCGCUGCAUUAGCUAGUUGGUACGGUAACGGCUUACCAAGGCAACGAUGCAUAGCCGACCUGAGAGAGUGACCGGCAACACUGGAACUGGUACAGGGUCCAGGCUCGCACGGGAGGCAGAAGUGGGGAAUCUUCAGCAAUGGGCGAAAGCCUGAAGAACCAACGCCGCGUGAGUGAUGAGGGACUUCGGAUCGUAAAACUCUGUUAUUAGGGAAGCGGUACCUAAUCAGAAAGCCACGGCUAACUACGUGCCAGCAGCCGCGGUAAUAC